Molecule: long non-coding RNA, 1527 nt
Filed under: Mus musculus (house mouse)
Lineage: Eukaryota; Metazoa; Chordata; Mammalia; Rodentia; Muridae
Description: predicted gene, 16794
Source: RNAcentral
CUCGCUCUUCCAUACUCGUUGGUGACAGCGCAAGAGGUGUGAUUUGCGCAUUAGGUGAGCUCAGGUUUAAAAUGCCAGUUGAUUGAGGUGUGGACUUGCGGAUGGUAUAAGAACGUUUAAGAGACAGUUGGUUAGCUUUAUGUUAACUUGAAACAUGGCAGAGUCGUUAGAAAGAGAAACCUCAACUGAGAAAAACGCUGCUUCCAAAUUGGCCUGUGGGAAUAUUUUGAUUACUGAUCAAUGCGGGAGGGCCCAUCUGAAUGUGUGCUGCUGCCACCCCUGGGCCGGUGGUCUUUCGGUAUGUGAAAAAGGCUGAGUGAACUAGCCAGAAAGCAACAUUCCUUCAGAGCUUCUUCAGUUCCUGCCUCAAGUUCCUUUGAUGAUGGGCUGUGAUGUGGAAGUGUAAGCCAAGUAAACUCUUUCCUUCCUAAGUUGCUUUUGGUCAUGGUGCUUAUAACAGUAAUAGAAACCCUAGUAAGAAAGGUAUUGGACACUUGCUUUUUGUACUGUGGGCUUGUCCCUCGUGGGAUCGUUAAAUUUACUAUUUUUCAAUGUGGACUUGAAAAAGUCUGGUUAGCUUGUGAGAGGAGUAAUUCUCUGAGUAAUGUAAACCUACAGAAGAGUUUUAAUUUUCUAAUAUUUUAAAGAGUUUUAUAGUUUUCCUCUUUAUAUCUUUUAUUAAAUUACUUUAUUUACAUUCCAACCCCCCCCCCCAUCCUGACUCCCCCUCCCGGAGUUCUUUAAGCCCUCCUCCCAACUCUGAGAGGGUGCUCCCCCAUCUGCUUCCACCUCACAUUUCCGCUUAGGUCAUCCCCAUUGAGUCCUAGUAGCCUCUCACAUCCCAGAUCUCUGGGACUUUCUAGAGGUUCCCCAUGGGCCCUAACCUCCACUGCUGCAUGUUGAUUAAUUCUCCUGGCCCUCUGGGCAUCCCUCCUUUCCAUACCUGAUCCCGCCCCUUCUUUUCCCCUUCCUCUCACCUCUCCGACCCAAUUUCCUCCCUCUGCCUCCCAUGAUUAUUAUUCCUCUUCGAGGUGGAUUUCAGGUAUCCACACUUGGGCCUUCCUUCUUGUUAAAGUCUGUGAGUUGUAUUGUGGGAAAGAGUAAUUUCCCACCAUUUCAAGACUCUGGGUUACUCCCCUCAUCCACAAUUUUUGAUACCCUGUUUCAAAACAAAGAAACCAACAAAAUUCAAAAAGCCGGUUGUGGUUACUUAGGAGGCAUAGGAAGAUCAGAAGUUAAAGGCCAUCCUCAGGUACAUUGUAAGUUCAGGGAGAUCCUAGUUGAUAAGAAAGCCCAUUUCAACCCCAAAACUCAAACCUGUGUGGCAUGAAAGUUUGAAUCUCAGCACUUGAAGGAUGGAGGCUGGAAGAUCAGGAGUUCAAGGGCAUCCUCACUUACUUAAGUUCCAGACGCAUUUGCCCUACAUGAGAACUGUCUCAACCAAACAGGACAAAAGCCACUAUAAACAUUUCUGUUUUGUUUUUUAUUAUCAUGUGACUUUCCUUACAAUAAAUACUUCAGAAGUUA